GGCCGGUUAGCUCAGUCGGUUGAGCUUGAUGCUGGUAACACCAAGGUCGUGGGUUCGAUUCCUAUUCAGUCCC
RNAcentral lists this transfer RNA (73 nucleotides) under Apaloderma vittatum (bar-tailed trogon). It matches the Rfam family "tRNA". From Rfam's summary of the family: Transfer RNA (tRNA) molecules are approximately 80 nucleotides in length. Their secondary structure includes four short double-helical elements and three loops (D, anti-codon, and T loops). Further hydrogen bonds mediate the characteristic L-shaped molecular structure. tRNAs have two regions of fundamental functional importance: the anti-codon, which is responsible for specific mRNA codon recognition, and the 3' end, to which the tRNAs corresponding amino acid is attached (by aminoacyl-tRNA synthetases). tRNAs cope with the degeneracy of the genetic code in two manners: having more than one tRNA (with a specific anti-codon) for a particular amino acid; and 'wobble' base-pairing, i.e. permitting non-standard base-pairing at the 3rd anti-codon position. Lineage: Eukaryota; Metazoa; Chordata; Aves; Trogoniformes; Trogonidae. The record is from Rfam by way of RNAcentral.